Triticum aestivum (bread wheat) is the source of this 1920-nucleotide long non-coding RNA. RefSeq lists it as uncharacterized. The record is from RefSeq and is a predicted model, not a curated record. NCBI's taxonomy places the organism in Eukaryota, Viridiplantae, Streptophyta, Magnoliopsida, Poales, Poaceae. The transcript is spliced from 3 exons.
CUGCCCCUCCCCUCGGGCGCAAAUCACGCCCCAGAUUAGCACGCCCACCAGCGCCCCUUCCCUUUCGAUCGCCACCAGCGCCCCUCCUCCGCGCCGGACCGCCACCCCACGUUCCUCCGCACCAGGCCGCCGCCACGCCCUCCUCCGCGCCGGACCGCCUCCCCACGUUCCUCCGCACCAGGCCGCCGCCGUUGCAGUUCUCCAGGAUCCAAGACCAAGCUCGCGACGAAGGGCUUGGAGCUGGCCGCGAGAAGGUGCUCAAGGCCGGCUCCCUUUCCACAGCGCCCCCCCUGGAUGGGAGCCUCCGCAUGCUCCUGCUAUGGCGACGACGCAGCCGUUCUUCCACUGGACAACUCCAUCCCCAGCUACUUGUCUGUCGCCUCGGAUCUCCAUCUCGAUCUGUGAUGUGUUCUCUGGUGCCAUUGAAGCAGAAUCCCGUGCUUCCCAAAUUGUAUGUAGGACACGAUUGGAGACUCUGGAAUUUCCAUUCAUUCAACGAUUAUUAUUUUUAGAUCAGUACAUGUUGUGAUUGAUGAUGGUGGAAAUUGGAGGGAUUCUAUUUACUUAUUUUUGCGAGGAGGAAUUAUCUCCAAGGUUGCCCUGCUGAGGAAACUUCAAAAAUUAGGCUUUUCUUUGUAAAUGACUUCUCAAGACUGGUCUGAUUUCUGUUCCCUUGGUCACAAAAUAUUCAUGGGAUUUCAUUUGAAUGGUUAUUCCAGAUUAUGCUGAACUAAAUAUGAGCAGUUCAGUGUGGUGUUUUGUUCGAAUUGCGAGUUUGGUGUGGUAUUUCUGCAGGAGUUUCUGAAUCUAAAGCAAAGGUGAGCGCCAAGGAAGGAGACGCCGCCACGAGCAGCAGUGGCGGGGCUGACCGCUGGCGGCCGCAAUAAUUAAUAUUGUCCCUUAGAUCCACCAUCACUAUGAAGCUGCCAAUCUGAACCAGGAGAAGUCUUAUACGGCGCAUAUUAACACUUACCGAGGUGAAGACCCAUUGUUGAUGAAGUAUUUUCUAAUUGAUCCAUACGGCGCAUAUUAACACUUACCAAGGUGAAGACCCAUAGUUGAUGAAGUACUUGCUAAUUGACUCAUCCGGCACCCAGCUAUUUGAUCUUAUUAGGGAUGGUGUCCUGCUCUGGUGAGAUGGCUUUCUAGCUAGCUACAGGGUGUAUGCUCAUUUACUCUUUGAACUGAAAUUGUUAAUUCAUUGAUCAGUAGGUUAGUCAAUGUAGCUGUAGGUGGAACCAUUGAUGAGAGAGCAAUAAAUAAGAAAAGAGUUUGUAACUCAUGGGAGAGGAAUCAAAAUCACAUGAUGUGUCUCAACUCUGCAAAGGCCAUUCGAUGUACUGUUGUCAACAUUGGCACGCAGGAUUUAGUGGAAGGAAGGGUAUGUCUUUCCCCACUUGUUAUCCUUUCUUGAUGUAGUGUGAUUGGUAUACAAAUGUUCCAGAGCUCUGAACUAUCCUUUUCGCAGUAACUUAAAUCAUGACUUCUCCCUUUAAUUCUGUCAUAUCCUGUAUCGUGAUAUUAAAUAUUGCUGUGAUGAAUUGGUAGGUAAAUUUAGGUACGAAAUACUCUUAUCAGUCAAUAUUGUUUAAGGCCCAAAUUUUUGAUUGAAAUUUUGGUCAGUUUCAAAUAUUUGUUCAUGAUAUUCAGGUCCAAAGAUAUGUAACAACCUAUUUGAGCAAGUUGAAAACACAUUCGGAUCAUGAUUAGUACAUCAUGCAUCUGUUAUCUUAUUUUGCGUUUGUAAUCGUAAUAGAUGUCUCUAGCUUCAGUAUGCUGUUAGUGACCCACAAAAAAAGUAUGUUGUUAGUGUACCUCAAGAACGCUUUAGGUUUGGUGGAAAGGAGAGAGAGAGAGAGAGAGAGAGAGAGAGAGAGAGAGAGAGAGAGAGAGAGAGAGAGAGAGAGAGAGAGAGAGAGA